GACGAACGCUGGCGGCGUGCUUAACACAUGCAAGUCGAACGGAAAGGCCCUGCUUUUGUGGGGUGCUCGAGUGGCGAACGGGUGAGUAACACGUGAGUAACCUGCCCUUGACUUUGGGAUAACUUCAGGAAACUGGGGCUAAUACCGGAUAGGAGCUCCUGCUGCAUGGUGGGGGUUGGAAAGUUUCGGCGGUUGGGGAUGGACUCGCGGCUUAUCAGCUUGUUGGUGGGGUAGUGGCUUACCAAGGCUUUGACGGGUAGCCGGCCUGAGAGGGUGACCGGCCACAUUGGGACUGAGAUACGGCCCAGACUCCUACGGGAGGCAGCAGUGGGGAAUAUUGCACAAUGGGCGGAAGCCUGAUGCAGCAACGCCGCGUGCGGGAUGACGGCCUUCGGGUUGUAAACCGCUUUCGCCUGUGGCGAAGCGUGAGUGACGGUAAUGGGUAAAGAAGCACCGGCUAACUACGUGCCAGCAGCCGCGGUGAUACGUAGGGUGCGAGCGUUGUCCGGAUUUAUUGGGCGUAAAGGGCUCGUAGGUGGUUGAUCGCGUCGGAAGUGUAAUCUUGGGGCUUAACCCUGAGCGUGCUUUCGAUACGGGUUGACUUGAGGAAAGGUAGGGGAGAAUGGAAUUCCUGGUGGAGCGGUGGAAUGCGCAGAUAUCAGGAGGAACACCAGUGGCGAAGGCGGUUCUCUGGGCCUUUCCUGACGCUGAGGAGCGAAAGCGUGGGGAGCGAACAGGCUUAGAUACCCUGGUAGUCCACGCUGUAAACGGUGGGUACUAGGUGUGGGGUCCAUUCCACGGGUUCCGUGCCGUAGCUAACGCUUUAAGUACCCCGCCUGGGGAGUACGGCCGCAAGGCUAAAACUCAAAGGAAUUGACGGGGCCCCGCACAAGCGGCGGAGCAUGCGGAUUAAUUCGAUGCAACGCGUAGAACCUUACCUGGGUUUGACAUGGAUCGGGAGUGCUCAGAGAUGGGUGUGCCUCUUUUGGGGUCGGUUCACAGGUGGUGCAUGGCUGUCGUCAGCUCGUGUCGUGAGAUGUUGGGUUAAGUCCCGCAACGAGCGCAACCCUUGUUCACUGUUGCCAGCACGUUAUGGUGGGGACUCAGUGGAGACCGCCGGGGUCAACUCGGAGGAAGGUGGGGAUGACGUCAAGUCAUCAUGCCCCUUAUGUCCAGGGCUUCACGCAUGCUACAAUGGCUGGUACAGAGAGUGGCGAGCCUGUGAGGGUGAGCGAAUCUCGGAAAGCCGGUCUCAGUUCGGAUUGGGGUCUGCAACUCGACCUCAUGAAGUCGGAGUCGCUAGUAAUCGCAGAUCAGCAACACUGCGGUGAAUACGUUCCCGGG
RNAcentral lists this ribosomal RNA (1344 nucleotides) under uncultured bacterium. RNAcentral's name for it is "16S ribosomal RNA". It matches the Rfam family "Bacterial small subunit ribosomal RNA", at positions 28 to 1378 of the family's 1533-position model. The record is from RNAcentral.